CCAAAAAUAAAUAAGGAUUUCAUAAAAUACAGAAGUUUCAAACACUUUUAUCGGGAACAUGUUUUGCCAGAUUUCAAUGGGGAAAACUGCUAUAAUAAUAGAAAGCUCAGCAGAUGUGAAUACAGCAUAUGACACAUUUGAAACCACUUUCAUGGAGGUUAUAGACAAACAAAUACCUAUGAAAGAAAAAAAAAAACCAUCAACAAACCAGCACCAUUCAUGAAUCAAACUUUGCGAAGUUUAUUAUAUAUAUAAAAAAAAAGAGAAUGGCAUACAACAUGUACAACAAAUAUCAAAAUUUUAAAAAUAAAACAAAUUGGGAAUGUUACAGAAAACAAAGAAUUCUAGUUAACACAUUUGUUUUUAAAUUCAUCAGAAACUAUUUCAUGGAACGAUGUAUAGGAGGACCUAACAGCAAAGAUUUUGG
This 427-nucleotide long non-coding RNA is filed under the name Mytilus galloprovincialis (Mediterranean mussel). Lineage: Eukaryota; Metazoa; Mollusca; Bivalvia; Mytilida; Mytilidae. The record is from RNAcentral.